UACAGAGGGUGCGAGCGUUAAUCGGAGUGACUGGGCGUAAAGGGCACGUAGGCGGUUAGAUUAGUCUGAUGUGAAAGACCUGGGCUUAACCUGGGAUGUGCAUUGGAAACGGUUUAGCUAGAGUUUGGGAGAGGGAAGUGGAAUUUCCGGAGUAGCGGUGAAAUGCGUAGAGAUCGGAAAGAACACUCGUGGCGAAGGCGGCUUUCUGGCCCAAAACUGACGCUGAGGUGCGAAAGCGUGGGGAGCAAACAGG
This 253-nucleotide ribosomal RNA is filed under the name uncultured bacterium. RNAcentral describes it as "partial 16S ribosomal RNA". It matches the Rfam family "Bacterial small subunit ribosomal RNA", at positions 524 to 776 of the family's 1533-position model. The record is from RNAcentral.